Molecule: transfer RNA, 76 nt
Filed under: Chloroflexota bacterium
Lineage: Bacteria; Bacillati; Chloroflexota
Description: Chloroflexi bacterium tRNA-Gly
Rfam family: tRNA
About the family: Transfer RNA (tRNA) molecules are approximately 80 nucleotides in length.
Source: RNAcentral
GCCGCUGUAGCUCAAUGGUUAGAGCACCUGGUUUCCGACCUAGGGGGUACGGGUUCAAGCCCCGUCAGCGGCUCCA